UUCAUUCUAAUGAGAAAGUCGCUCCGAAUGGGCGAGGCCUCAUUCGCUCUGCCUCCGAGAGGCAGGGACCGGCCGAGGGCCCGAUGGGAACGCAAUGAAUGAAUGAAUCUCCAUAAAGAGCCCCGAGCGGGAGUUAGAGAGCGGAGGAGGCAGAGCGGGCAGCAAACCUGGGCUGGCGGGGAGCGCAGUGAAGAACAAAAGCCGGGUGACCCACUGAAUGACUGGUUCCUUGGCCAGGACAUGUCUGUCUCCUCUUCACAUCCCUCCACUGGUUUCUUCUCUUCUUCCACAUCAUCUGGUUCCAGCACCUCAUCUCCUGUUCAAGGCCCUGCGCUACUCUUUUGCUUAUGGGUAUGUCUAGACUGCAAAAAAAAGUGUGUUCUAACUGGGCUUAGCUCACCCAUAUUCGCUACCUGGAGUUAAAAUAGCAGUGAAGACAGAGCAACUGGGCUUUUGAUUUGGGUUAGAAGCUUGAGUUUGACCCCAGCUGCCCUAUAGACUUGAACUCCUGCUGCUAACCCGAGUUUAGAACAUAGCUUUUUUUCAGUGUAGUCAUACUCAGACCCUCUAUCUCUGCCUUUGUAUCUCCCACCUCCCCUUCUUGCCCUUUUUGCUCUGCCCAGUUCCCUCUCUUUGUGUUCUCCUCCUACUGCUGGCCUGCACGGCUCUCUGCAUUCAGAUCCCUCCUCCUUAAAAUUCAGGUCUUCUACCAAGCCCAUCAAUGCCUGCCCGCCUCAGUAAACAGGCUCUGAUGGACCUAAUAGACAAAACAAAGCAACUUGCUGUGCUCUAAGAGGUCACCCUCCCUCCUCUCCCCUCCUCCCCUGUGUCAUUUUGUGUCUGAAAUGGUUUGUCUGACUAACUAGCAUACACUCCCGAGCGGCACUGACUGAGAGGCUGAGUGCCCUCAGCUCCCACGGAGUUCAGUGGGAGAUGAGGGUGCUUGGCGUCACUCAAAAAAUGAUGCUCAACAUCUUGCAUCGUUGAUUUCAAUGGGAGUUGCAGAUUCUCAUUAGGAGCUUAGUCCCCUAAAGGGGGGACCCUUUGUGCCCAAUCCUGAGAGGUGCUGAGCACCCUGAAGUCAAUGGGGGUUGAUGUUGCCCACCACCCGGUUGGAGGUGUUCCGAACGUCACAGGGUUCGGUCCUUCGGUGUGGGCAGGGACUGUGUCAUCCACCAUGGUCUGUAUGGCAUUGAGCAUUCUGUUGGCAUUUAAUUACGAUGAUUCUUUUUAUUUGUUUCUGGGGAGCUGUUGGUGAUGCAGGCUGAUGAGAUGCAAAUUUUAUGGCAGAGAAAGCUUUUAUAUUAAGCAAACUCCUGAAUUCAAAAGUGAACCAACAAGGUACAAUAAAUGGGCCAAAUUCUUUCUGCCA
RNAcentral lists this long non-coding RNA (1372 nucleotides) under Chrysemys picta bellii (western painted turtle). RNAcentral's name for it is "lncRNA (ENSCPBG00000020619.1)". Lineage: Eukaryota; Metazoa; Chordata; Testudines; Emydidae. The record is from RNAcentral.